Molecule: unclassified non-coding RNA, 1798 nt
Filed under: Hevea brasiliensis (rubber tree)
Lineage: Eukaryota; Viridiplantae; Streptophyta; Magnoliopsida; Malpighiales; Euphorbiaceae
Source: RNAcentral
CUCUGGUUUAACAUUGAUGAGAAUGAACAAUUAAUAACAAAGUUUUCUUUCCAUUGAAGGAGAAUGAACAGUUGAAAUGUAAACCACAGGUCUUCACAUGAACUUCUGGAAUCCAAACUUGACACUCUGUGCAUGUUGUUUCUAUAUAUCUAGGCUUGUUUCUAUAUAUCUAGGCUUUGAUGUCAACAACUUUGAAUAUGGAAAUAGGGGUAAAUAGUCUAUCCAGAUUAGAAGAGGGAUCCCUGUAACUGCUAUGCCACUUUCACAAUUCCCCACCUCCAAAAAAUAAAAAUAACUGAAAUGAAAAUGUUUUUACAAUUACAUUAUCACUAAUUUCAAAACCUUCAGCAGAUGUUCUUUUCAUGAGUAUGAUUCUCAAUUUGGCACCUAACACGAUAUCAUAUCCACUUGAUUCCGCACCAUACUGGCCAAAAAAUUAAUCAAGUGUAGGAGCAGCUACAAAAUGUCCUGGCAGACCACCCUUACGUCCUUGCUAUACAUCUCAACUGUUUGAAGUUGAUGAAUCAGUCAAUGGUAUCGAUUCAGCAGGUUGUGAUUUAUCAGGACUACCUUGGGAAGCUUCCUUCUUCAACUUGUGAUUAUUAUAUGCAGCUACGCCAGCAAUUGCAAUGCAGUAGCCAAACAGGUUUAUGACUGUGAGCUUUGUAUCAGCAAAUAGAAGGGCAGAUAGCAAGACAACAAUCCAAUCCUUCACAACUCCAGCCACACGAAUAGUCAGAGCACUGGUAUGCGAGAUCACAAGGAAAACUGAUAGGUUAAGUGCAAAUGUACAAAGAGAAUUCAGUGUUAGCACAAGAGGCUGAAAGUUCCAUGAAUGUGUUUCCAUCCUUGGUUUCUCUAGAAAGAUCCAAGGAAUAAACAGGCAAAGGGCACUGCAAGGAAAACCAACAACCAAAAACAGGCAUGCUUAUAAUUUUUUUCCUACAUGAAACUAGAAGCAAAUGCUUCCAAAAUGAUGUUUACAAGAAAAACAUAAUACUUGCCUGCAGGGACUAACAUAAUACAUAACAGAUAUAGGAUUUAAUUUCAAACCCUUCCUUUUCACUAGAAUCUCCAUGAAAAUAAGUCUCAAGGCUUCUCCAACAACUCCACCCAUCUGAUACACAACUCCAAUCCAGCUGAUAUUUAUCUCUCCAUAAGAAGCCACAAGAACACCAAUGCUGAUCACUGACAUUAUUAACAGCAUUCUGCAACUCAUCACCUCAAGUCCAGCAGCCACUCCAAGAACGAAAACAGCAACUGGCACUGCAAAUCUCAUUAAAAAAAUUAAUUCAUGUCACAAGUGCCCACACUGACACAGGUCCAAAGGAAAUCUAGUACUCAUUGGCUAACCAAAUAUCUUAUUUUCCACCAAAGAAAGCAAUAAUAGAAUCUUGCAUCAUAUGCAAUUUUGGAAUAGAUCCAGAUAAGUACUUUGACAAAUAAUAUUAAUUUAUUGAGAAUGGCUGCCUUAGCGGAUCAAAGACAUAAACAAUGAACACUUACUAAUAGCCUUCAACAUUUGUGCAAAAGCCACAGAUAUAUACAGGUAGGCAGUGUUUCCCAGCCAAAGAGUCAUUGCAAACAUUGCACCUAUUGGAACAACUGAUGUUGUGUAUAUUUCUACUGUCAUUCCAUCCUCAACUUUCAUAACCUUGAAAACUUUCGUCAGUAUAAAACACAAAACAGAAGAGAAGACCAUGUGCAGUAGAGUCAAUCCAAGAGGAUAAGGAAAGUUUACUUCCUUAGAUGACAAAACCCACUUGUUCAAGAAUAUCUGCCCACUAGAGAAAGCGAA